AGGAACUUUUGAUGAGAAACUGGUCAGCCAUUCUGAGAGUGGUGGAAAGCCUGUCAAGGUCACUGCCAAGGACAAGAGAGUCAAUUAGUAUGCAGAUCAGAGCCAAGGAGUUCAAAGGUUGAACAAGACCAUUUGUGAAGACGUCCUGUGAAGUGACUCUUUGGCAUAGCCUGUCUUUAAUCCACGUUUGCCACAAAAGGAAAGAGCGUACCGUCAAGGAGUGCUUCUUGCUCACAUCAGAGAAGCUUGUAAGCAAUCAAAGUCAUCCUAAGAUCACAAUUGGAAACUGAAAGACUGGAAGGAAGCUGGUGAUCAAACGUAUUUUCCACUGUGGCAAGGGCUGUAUGAAGACACUAGAAGACAGAUGCUGCUGUAUGAGCUUAUGAUGUAAGCAGAUGAAGACUGACUUGGUUUUGCUCCAAACAACAGUGCCACACAGGUGCAAAGCCAAAACUCUACCCUGUGCUUCCUAAAGAGACUUCCAAGUUAUUUCUCUUCUCUCAAGUAUAGUAGUGUGCUUGGACACCUGCUUGUGCUUGGUUGGUACUCUGGAAAUGAACCUUUAGUGAAGUGAUGGGCAGCAUACUCUCUCUAAGGAAGAGUCUGUGAAUGAGCUACAAGAAUAGGGAGCAAUUAGUGAGCUGGAGGCUUUUCACCAGUGACACUGAAGCCUGAAUGCUCGUUAAGUGAGUGAGGGAACUGAAGUUAUGGGUUGACCAUCAAGCACUCUCAGUAGCAAAAUCCAGUGUCUUAUACGCUCGUAAGCUGGAAGUCAAAGUGAAGCAGCCCUUUUCCCUUUCUGGAAAGCCUGCGUGCCCCUUGCUCAAGGACUGAAAGAAGGGAAAUACAGCAUAAUACAUUCCUGAGACCAGGUCAUUACAAAGCUGUAGAUUAGAAACUGUAAAAAUAAGAGUCCUAAGGAACUGGCACUUAAGUUAAUGAAAACUAAAAGACUCUUGUCAUAAGUCAGAGAAUUAAUCUACAGAAAAAGUUCAAACUUCGUUUUAAUCAUGUCAUCUGCUUAUAAGGGUUGACUGAGUGGUUAAUGCAGAAAAAGAAUAUAUUCCCAGAAUUUCAGCUGUAAUUCAGUCCAGCCUAACUGGAAAGUGAGCUGCGCCUUGAAUCAGUUUAGUUACUGAUUUUCAGUGUUUAUCUUUGCCCUAUAGGAACCAAAUCAAAGUGGGAUUCUCACAUGUAAAAACCAAGGGGAAAAAAAGAAAAAGUGAAAAACAAAGUCCAGGCCUCAAAGAAUAUUGCCACUGAAGUCAUUCUGUUGAUGUAUACAUGACUGAAGCAUGGCAUGGGGAAAAUC
Calidris pugnax (ruff) is the source of this 1312-nucleotide long non-coding RNA. RefSeq lists it as uncharacterized. The transcript has 3 exons. The record is from RefSeq and is a predicted model, not a curated record. Lineage: Eukaryota; Metazoa; Chordata; Aves; Charadriiformes; Scolopacidae.